AUCCUCUCAAGGCCAAUUGGCUAAGAUCAUGUGUAGUUUCUGUUCUUUAUAGCUUGACAGCUGUAAGUGCCUCAAGGGCACAAUUUUAUCUGUCAUACUUAUUUUUGGAGCCGCAGCAGUGCUCAGCGCAAUGCUGGCGCUGCGCGGGUGUCCCCUGCACUGCAGUAUCGCUCGGUGACGCUCAGGUAUC
RNAcentral lists this small nuclear RNA (190 nucleotides) under Allomyces macrogynus ATCC 38327. Its description in RNAcentral is "U2 spliceosomal RNA". It matches the Rfam family "U2 spliceosomal RNA". From Rfam's summary of the family: U2 is a small nuclear RNA (snRNA) component of the spliceosome (involved in pre-mRNA splicing). Lineage: Eukaryota; Fungi; Blastocladiomycota; Blastocladiomycetes; Blastocladiales; Blastocladiaceae. The record is from Rfam by way of RNAcentral.